Molecule: ribosomal RNA, 497 nt
Filed under: uncultured bacterium
Lineage: Bacteria
Description: partial 16S ribosomal RNA
Rfam family: Bacterial small subunit ribosomal RNA
Source: RNAcentral
GAUGAACGCUGGCGGCGUGCCUAAUACAUGCAAGUCGAGCGAACAGACGAGGAGCUUGCUCCUCUGACGUUAGCGGCGGACGGGUGAGUAACACGUGGAUAACCUACCUAUAAGACUGGGAUAACUUCGGGAAACCGGAGCUAAUACCGGAUAAUAUAUUGAACCGCAUGGUUCAAUAGUGAAAGACGGUUUUGCUGUCACUUAUAGAUGGAUCCGCGCCGCAUUAGCUAGUUGGUAAGGUAACGGCUUACCAAGGCGACGAUGCGUAGCCGACCUGAGAGGGUGAUCGGCCACACUGGAACUGAGACACGGUCCAGACUCCUACGGGAGGCAGCAGUAGGGAAUCUUCCGCAAUGGGCGAAGGCUUGACGGAGCAACGCCGCGUGAGUGAUGAAGGUCUUCGGAUCGUAAAACUCUGUUAUUAGGGAAGAACAAAUGUGUAAGUAACUAUGCACGUCUUGACGGUACCUAAUCAGAAAGCCACGGCUAACUACGUG